UUAGCGGCGCUUUUUAGCGCCAUUAAAAGUAUUUGUGGUGCUUUG
Non-coding RNA from Gossypium hirsutum (cotton), 45 nucleotides. Lineage: Eukaryota; Viridiplantae; Streptophyta; Magnoliopsida; Malvales; Malvaceae. The record is from Rfam.